GUAACUGAAGACAGUCCUCUGCACACCAGUUUGUGUCCCCUAGAUGGCAGGAAAGGAUCAGUUUAACAGUAACAAAUCUGCUUUUGCUUGUAUACUUCAGCAUCCACCUGAGAGACAAAGGAGAGGAAAGUUGAAUCACUUCUGUGAGAGGGAAGCUUAUGGUGAGGUAUGAAUAAAUUUGAACUCAGUUCUGUAUCUUAAAAACAUUUUGUCUCAGUCAUUUAUUGUGGCUUCACCACCUCAGUUUAUGUUUAGAAUUAUAUUCCACACCUUUUAUUGUUGCUGCAUCUGAGAAUACAGAAAACAAAAAGAAUGAAUACAAUUCCUGGCAUAUUUCAUUACAACUUCUGUCUGUUGUCCAUGACGUGCCUUAUUUUUUUUUGAGCUUUGGUUGAUUGACAGUUGCUCGUCUAGUGCACUGCAAAGUUGCACUACUACUACUCAGAAAUUGCAAGGGUCUGUAACAUUUGAACUGUCACCUUGCUAUGUGUUUAGCUCUGAUGAUGAUUUGUAGUCUUCACUAUAUCCUUACUGCAUAUGAAGGCUAAAUUCAAGUAAAAUAGCAGUUUUGGUGCAAGGUUUAGAUCAUCAUUAAUGGUAAGCAGUGCUCAAAAUAGCAACAAUCACAGUGGUCAGUACCACCAAUAGGCUUUCAUGGCUUAAUGUCGUUUCUGUUGCAGUUGAUGUAAUGGAUGUCUCCUCUGAAACAGCUCUUAAGUCCGCUAUAGUUGUUAAAUGAUUCAGUAUUUAAUCAAAAAAAUAUGAUAUUAAAGAUUUAAGGAAUGUAUACUGGUACUAAGUGUGGCUAGGUUCAUGCAAAUCAGUGAAGUAUUUGAGAGACAGUUGUUCCUGCAAGAUUUUUCUUUCUCUGAAGUUCAGAUAGGGGUGAGAGAAGAGAGAUGCACAGCCUGAUGAUGUGUCCUGCUACCAGUUCUUCAGUAAUUCUGUCAUUUGGAAAUAUGUGUGCAUUUGGUUUAGAUAAGAUAAUUCAUAAUAGGAAAAAAAAGGUAGUGCUGUUUGACUUCGUACUUUGUUUUGCAGUAGAAGAGGAUGCUGGCUUCUAUUAAGGGGUGUCCUAUUGAUGACUUCGAUGAAGGCAGUAGAAUUUGGCCAAUCUUGAGUUGUAUCUGAAACUUGGUUGGUAGGUGUUCAUGGUCACCUCCUUAUGGAGGUAGAGACACUGCUCUUCUAUGACUAACUAGAGGAGGUGCUUCACCACAUUCACCCUUCUGGCAUCCACCCAUUUGACACUUAGAGCUGCCUUGUCUCUAAUUGUUGAUGAGCAAUAUCAAACUAAUUUCAAAACAAUUGUUCUAAACUAAUUUGUAGUUCACAAGUUACAGUUUUUAUUUCAGACCUGAAGAAAGAUUUAUACAAAACAUUGCCAGCCUGGCAGUAUGAAAAUAUUUGGAAAAAUUUUGGUCUAAUUAUAUUUUUAGAGAGAGACAAGCUAUACAUGUGAGUGUGUUAGUUCAGUGUAUAUUUGUCAUGUCAGUAUCUUCUACUUGGCACAUUCUGAAAGUUAAAUUUCUGGGCAAUAUUGCAAAGGAGUUUCAAGAUGAAUAGUGUGCAGUGGGGAUGGAGAUGGACACUGGUGGAAGUAAGUGCAGGGAAGCAAGAGCAGUAAUAGGAUGUUGUUACUCAAUGAUGAGCGCUGCUGCACAUGAAGAAAGUAUCAUUUUCUUACUCAUCUAUUUCUACCAUUGCUUCUUGCUUUAUUUUUCCUCAGUUCAUCCUUUUCUGAAUACUCCUUUCACUUCCCUCUGCACAUCCAGCAGAUUUCAGUCUGGUUAGUUCUGUUUCAUUCUCUUUGAAUAAAAGUUGGAGUUUCUGCCAGGUGGACUGAGUCUGCAAGAAGGAAACCUUGCAAAAGGCAGUGGCAGCACAAAGACCUUGCAGUUGAAGUGGUAGACUAGAAUUAGUGCUCUGUUCACAGGUAGAAACAAUGUUAAUUUUGGGAAAACAGCAAAAUGGUCUCCGGUCCCUGCUAAAUCUUUCCUUCUGACUUUGCAAAGCCCAGUGUCAUCAUAUUUACUCAUGGAAUAUAGUAUUCAGUCUUCAACUGGGCAGCAUGUGUACAGAAUUUUAAAUGAUUUUCUGUAAAAUACAUUUAAAUAUGCACAAGAGGAAAACACAGUCUUAUAUAAAUUCAAGUGGGAAGCUAUGAUUCUUUCUUUAUAUUUCAUAUUUCUUGUAUUUUGUGUAUUUCUCUCUCUCUAGUGUUGUAAAAAGCUAUUUCUGUUAUUGCUAUUGAUGAGAGUAUUGCCUAAUAAUUAGCAUUUCAUUUUUAUGCCCACAUUGAAAGUUACUGCUGGCCAAUCUUCAUUACAGGUGGAAUUGCCUUGUAUGGUCUCAGAGGGCUCAUCCUAUGUACAGGACAAGAAAAGAGGUGGUAAAAAAUGUUGGGGCACCUUGAGAGGGAGUGAAGUCUAUAAGAUCAUAAUUUCAGGUCUUUUCUAAACAUAUUCCUUAAUGGUGAGCAAGAACUUCUUGAAACUCACUUUCUAUCAGUUUUGGCAGUGCAUCUUUUACAGCUACUAGCAAAAGUUAACUUUUACGUACAAGUUGUAUCAAAGAGUUUAAUGGAAGAAACUUUUAGACAUCUAGUGGGGCGGUUGGGAGCAGUCACGACAUAGUUUAGCUGUACUUUGAGUCUGUAGGGUGAGACUGUGUAAAAACUGCAAGAUUUCCACAUGCUUUCUUAAGAAAACUGACCUGUAGAUCCCCACACCCGGAUUGUACGGGUACACCCUUUCUGUGGCUGGCUGUCCAGCCCACAGGAGCUGUCUCCAAAGCCCUGUGCAGAGGCUUCUGUGCUCUACAAAGGCACAUGAUGCACUUGCUGGAUCAACAAAGAAUGAGGAGGAUCUGUCUCCAGAGAUGACUUUGGUCGCACUGCACUGCUCUCCAGAAAUGGCCGUGAUGACUGUUGAAGACACUGGAAACUGAAACGAAAAGGUACAAAGAUAAAAUGUGGUGAAAGUAUUGAUUGAAAUUUUCAGAUAUAACCACUGAGCUUUUGAAAUUUAAUGAAUAAAAAGGCACUGUUGAUUGGGAAAAUGUCUACUGAGUUCUUUCAAAGAGCCUCAGAGAACAUGUUUCAAAAAUAGUGCUGCUAAAACUGAUAGUGACUUAAGAAAAUCCUGGUAACUGGCUAACAUUGUUCAAAAUCCUUGACAGUUCUAAGAAAAAAAUACACCUUUUCUCUACAAAACAAAACUCUGGUUUCUGGCCCCUCAUUUUUCAAGACUGUACUUCUAAUGCAAUCCUUUCACUGAAUCAUUUGAGCGCUUUUCUUUUCCCAUCAACAACUCCCACAUCCCCUAUGAGGUUUUAUUCCAUUCUGUAGACUAGUUCACUAGUUUAGGCUUGGAGCUUUGUUAUUCUAAUCUCAUGUUGAGAAAAGACCUUUUGGUCGAGCUUCGAAGUUUAACGACAAUGCCAAUACUCCGGUGUUGGGAAAAACUUUGAAUGCAUUUUUUAAAAUUGGCAUUGCUAGAUAUUUGGUGUAGAUUUCAACUGAGUACACCACAAUUAGACAGAGGCUGAAGAAGCUAAUUGAAAGAUUAAUGUUAAAACUUGGAGAGAAAUAGGAAUGCCUGAUUUUUUUGAAAGAUAUAUAUAUAAAUUUCUCUUACAUGUAAUGGAAGUUGAUGCAGAUAUAUAUUAUAGUCUCUCCACUGAGUAUUGGACAAGAUUAGUAUUGAUCCUACAGAGGCCCAAACACUCAGUUCUUAGAUCUGCUUUUCCCAUCCAACAGUUGCUGUUGGAUUCAGCACCUUUCAAGGAUUAAUAUAAACUCUUAAAAUAUUUUCCUUCUGUUCUUUUAUCGGUGAGUUGCAAGACGGCAGCUACUUGAUAUAAUCCAUUUUCAAUUUAGUAGGAAAUGUAAUAUACUUCUGUUCUGGAGGAAAAUUGGGAAGUAAUUACUGUAGAAUUAAAUCCUAUUGCUUCUGUGAAAAUAAACAAUAUAGGAAGUGUCUGGGGACUUGCAGUAGGACACAUAAUCCAACAGUACUCAUUCUUCUUUAUAGAACUAUGUAAUUAGGAGUUAACGAACAAAGUACUGGACUGCUUGCAAUUCCAUACACUGAUUUUCUGCAAGUGCUGUAGAAAGUUUCUUUUGCUUCCUCUGAAUCUUCUUUUUGCUCUGCUUUUUAGCUGCAAUGAAAAUGGGAUUUUACAUUAACAUGAAUUGUUUAUGUCUGGAUAAUAAGCAAUUAAAUUCACUACCUUCUUAAUUCAGUUGUUGGUUUGAUUGUCUCUUCUGUGGAGUCAAGACUGUUUCUUCUAGUAUAGAUUUAUAAUUUUUUCUUAAUAAAAAGGAAAAAAGAAGGAAAAAUAAAAAUAAAAAAAAACAUUAACUAUAAGUUGAAAUAAAGAAGGGGCAAAAGUACUCUUAUCUGAGGUCAAACCAGUUUUGCCUCAUGUGAAUCUGUGUCUGCCUUGUCCUGGGUUUCUUUUGGAGAGAAAAGAAUUUGAGUUUUUUAAUUGUGCUGAACAAGUACUAGACAAGGGCCCCAUGUGUGAGCCAUAGGCUUUACAUUCCAACCAUUCUCUUUUCAGUUCUAUACCAGUCAUCUGGUAUUUCUCAGCACUGAACUCUCUAAGAUUCCUGGGCAGAGACUGUAUUGGAGACAGAGUCAUAAAGCAUGGCACACUGCUGUGCCCUGUUUUGACUCUGCCAGGAUUUCUGGUUUAAAACAAAGACCCUCAGACUCUCCCAACCACUUAUGAGGUAUAAAGACAAUUUAAAAGUUGUCCAGUACACUUAUAAUGGGAUGAGUAACAAUAAGCUAUUGAACCUAUAAAUCUCCUUUAUUAUACAUACUAAUGAAUUCAGGGUUAUGGACAAAAAUACUUGCAAGAUUCAUAAAUAUUUGAUUGUUUUGAGACACAGAUGUCAGUGGCUUUGUUUUUAAUGUAUAGUACUAGAAUCAGAAUUUUAAUAUUGCUAAAAUUAUGCUAAAGUGCUGUUGGAACUUCAGGCAAGAUAUGUCUAACUUGAGUAGUAAAUCUAUUUCAUUUCAAAGGAAUACAGCAAUAAAACCCCUGAAGCAAGCAUUACCUGAACGUAAUUGACUGCAUCAAUGAGUUAAAUGUUCCAAGGAAAAGACUGUUUCUAGCUGACAAGGUCAGUUAUCCCCUCACUGUGUCCUUUUCGGGUGGUACUGGCAUUCCAAACAUAUCCAAAAAUUGUUAUCCAUUUUUCUGCUCUCAAAAGUUUUUUUUUACUUUUCUAAAUAAAAUUCCUAUUAACUAUUUUUUAGAAAAACAGAUAUUGGAGAAAUUUCCACUGGAGUAAUGCACAGAAAUAGUAUUAAUCCUGUGGAUAUAUGAAUUUCACUUUCAAGUAGCAGUUGCAUAUCUAUCAUCACUACUGAUUGGGUAGAAUCAUAGAAUGGAAUUUUUGUUUUUUGUUGUUUAAAAAACAUUGACUGUAAAAUGGUACUGUGUGAUAAAUGGAGUAGUUAAAGGUUAGUGUACCAUUUUUGUAUUUGGGCAUCCCUGUAAGCCCCAUUUCUGUUAUGGAUGGAAUCCUGAUGAAGUAGGAACAAAUUAAAUGUACGUGGGCCCAAACAAAGUGUGCUGAACCAAACAGGGAAUUGGUAAAAGGUCAACCCACUGGAUCAGAAACCAGUAGGCAGAGUUCUUUCUUCUUGUUUUUUUUUUUUUUUUCCAGGUGUUCAAGUUCAGCUGGUGAGACCCACACAUGAGAAAAGCCUCCUCUGCUCUCUGUGCCUGAGGAACAGGAAGUAGAUGGGCUCUGUCAGGCCCUCUCUCCCCAAGGAAAACCCUCAAACUCUUUCCAUAGCUGUUUCGGAUUUGAUGCCCCUCAUAUGGGCUUUACGGUGAAGAAACACAGACCAUGGCACAUCUUUUAUUCCCUUUUAGGCUUUUUAGCCCCCUUUGGCAAUACUGUAUAUAGAUUGUACCUUUUCCCGUGUCUUAGUUUCCUGUUCAUUUACUUCAUAAACUUCUUUGGUUGGGAAUAAAAUCUUUAUUAUAGC
Chiroxiphia lanceolata (lance-tailed manakin) is the source of this 6011-nucleotide long non-coding RNA. RefSeq lists it as uncharacterized. Lineage: Eukaryota; Metazoa; Chordata; Aves; Passeriformes; Pipridae. The record is from RefSeq and is a predicted model, not a curated record. The transcript has 2 exons.